GCCCAGUUCAUAACCAAUGAUUAGAAAUAUCAUAAUUGCCUAUCAUUCCAAUUCAAUUAAAUUAUGAAUUUUUCAUUUACUUGGAAUUGUUACAUAGUUAAAGCCAUAUAACACCUUAAAAAAUAUAUUAAUUGAGGAAUUUUGCUCCUAUGCAAUUACUACGGUGCAUAUGACCUUUGGUCAUCUAUCUCAUUUGUCUUCUUUAAAGAAGACGUGUCAUUUGUGUAACAGCCCCUAGAAAUACCAAUAAUAAAUGACCUCACUAUGGUUUUGGGUUCUAUAUCUCAGUCCAAGGCAACAAGAGUAGUGAUUGAUCUCAUUGACCCUUCCUCAGUAUAUGACAAUGUAAAACAGAAACACUUCAUAUGGGUCACUUGUAACCGUUGCAUUUCAGGUUCUAGUGAGUAGUUUGCCACCUGCAAAACUGAAUAAGAGUCAGUGAAUACUGUUAAUAGCCUCAUUGAAACCAUUGUCCAGCAAAUAAAGGCUGGAAACCAGAGGACACAUGCUCUUUCAGUUACACAUUCAUUUCAGUAAAUGAUAAUCAUUCCUAAGCAGACAGCCAAGAGGUAUAGGUGAAAAGGAAAACCAAAAAUCUCUUAACUAUUACAUAUGCAUAAAUCAUAAUAAAGGGGCAGUUUCAAAAUGGGUAACCAGAAAGAUGGUCAUAUGCCAUAUAAAGCAACAAGCAGAGAGUAACACAGAAAAAACCAGAGAAACAGACUACAAUACAGAGAGAGCAUAUUGAUAGGGGGAUAUGCACAUACAUAUAUCACACAACAUUGCAAAACAACCAUCAAGAAGAAGAGAAAGAAAACCAACAUCACAUAUAUACAGAGAUUUUUUGACACAUGUUCAUUACUACCUACAUCUUUUCUCAUACACUAUCAUCUUGUUCUCUGUCUUCAUAACCAAAUUUCUAUACCGAGCAUAACCUCUUCAUAUAUGAUGAUUUAUGAAAAGAUAAUCAUACAAAAACCAGAGAGCUUGUAUACAAAUUCAGAAUAUAAGGUGUAUAAAGAUAAUAAAAGUGUAAACACUAUCCGGACCAAAGAGGUUUAAGGGAUGAAGGAAUUAUAAAGGAGUAUCAACAAAAGGAAGGAACCAACACCAGGUGCAUUAUUUUAAUAAGCCGAAAACCCAGGUUAGCAUUUUAUUUUAUCAUCAGCAAUCAUCAUAUUAUACCAUGUUUAUCAUUACAUAAUUUACAUCCUUUGGUGUAUUUCACUGUUUAUACCCACAACUUAACAACACACAUGCUUUAUUACAAAGAACACCAACAUCAUUUUUACCCACUAUUGACAAUAUGCAUAAUAUAUUGGUAUCUACACAAAAUACCAUUUUUAUCAUUAAAUCAAACCAUUCAACUCGACUUGUAUAAACAUUCAUUUAAUUAGCAAAUCAUAAAAGCAAGCAAACAUGAACAUACAUAGCCAUAAGGUGCGUCCAAAACCAUUGAUAAAGUAUUCGAAGUAAGAAUUAUGAGUAUGAAAUAUACCUUAAGUGACAUCACCAUUCCAAAAGCUUUGCUACUCCUCUGUUUUCGGUCUUGUGUAGACCCAAAUCGGCCCACCAUGUAGUCCUCAAUGCAGAUCGCAGCCUCGGCGCCUCGGGCAUCAAUCGGUUCCGACGAGGAUGGACUGAAAUUUCUAUGUGCAUGGAAAUGUCCCCACCUCCUUCACUGAUGUGUGCUUCAGUUCCACUACCACUGGCUCAUCACCACCGCAACUCCCUCGAGAUCAGAAUUGUUGUCGUUCUUCGCUGCCAUAGAUGGAGAUGAGAUGUUAAAGAGGGGUUUGGGAUUUUCUCCCUGGAACACGUGAAGUGGAGGGGAGAAUGACUUAGGGUACCCAAAUUAAAUCAUCCCCUUUUAUUUCUUUAAUUUUAU
RNAcentral lists this long non-coding RNA (1888 nucleotides) under Lupinus angustifolius (narrow-leaved blue lupine). RNAcentral's name for it is "long non-coding RNA (LANG_LNC001112)". Lineage: Eukaryota; Viridiplantae; Streptophyta; Magnoliopsida; Fabales; Fabaceae. The record is from RNAcentral.